Long non-coding RNA from Oncorhynchus tshawytscha (Chinook salmon), 464 nucleotides. The record is from Ensembl. Lineage: Eukaryota; Metazoa; Chordata; Actinopteri; Salmoniformes; Salmonidae.
GCGGCAUUGGCUUGAGGGGGCUAAACAUCCUUUCCUCAUUUGGACUGACCACCGCAAUCUGGAGUACAUCUGGGCGGCGAGGAGACUGAACCCUCGUCAGGCAAGUGCCACGUCCGUCUCUUCCGGAUGCACAUCUCUAUCCCUUGCUCUCCACUUUGAAAAUGACCAUUUCCACUUGCUUCUACUGAAGGACCUGAGCCCUAGGACCAUGCCUCAGGACCACCUGGCAUGAUGACUCCUUGCUGUCCCCAGUCCACCUGGCCGUGCUGCUGCUCCAGUUUCAACUGUUCUGCCUGUGAUUAUUAUUAUUUGACCAUGCUGGUCAUUUAUGAACAUUUGAACAUCUUGGCCAUGUUCUGUUAUAAUCUCCACCCAGCACAGCCAGAAGAGGACUGGCUACCCCACAUAGCCUGGUUCCUCUCUAGGUUUCUUCCUAGGUUUUGGCCUUUCUAGGGAGUUUUUCC